UAGUGGCAGACGGGUGAGUAAUGUAUAGGAAUCUACCUAGUAGUACGGAAUAAUUGUUGGAAACGGCAACUAAUACCGUAUACGCCCUACGGGGGAAAAAUUUAUUGCUAUUAGAUGAGCCUAUAUUAGAUUAGCUAGUUGGUGGAGUAAUAGCCUACCAAGGCAAUGAUCUAUAGCUGAUCUGAGAGGAUGAUCAGCCACACUGGAACUGAGAUACGGUCCAGACUCCUACGGGAGGCAGCAGUGGGGAAUAUUGGACAAUGGGCGAAAGCCUGAUCCAGCCAUGCCGCAUGAGUGAAGAAGGCCUUUGGGUUGUAAAGCUCUUUUAGUGAGGGAGAUAAUGACGGUACUCACAGAAGAAGUCCUGGCUAACUCCGUGCCAGCAGCCGCGGUAAUACGGAGAGGGCUAGCGUUAUUCGGAAUUAUUGGGCGUAAAGGGCGCGUAGGCUGGUUAAUAAGUUAAAAGUGAAAUCCCGAGGCUUAACCUUGGAAUUGCUUUUAAAACUAUUAAUCUAGAGAUUGAAAGAGGAUAGAGGAAUUCCUGAUGUAGAGGUAAAAUUCGUAAAUAUUAGGAGGAACACCAGUGGCGAAGGCGUCUAUCUGGUUCAAAUCUGACGCUGAGGCGCGAAGGCGUGGGGAGCAAACAGGAUUAGAUACCCUGGUAGUCCACGCUGUAAACGAUGAAUGUUAAAUAUGGGAAGUUUACUUUCUGUAUUAUAGCUAACGCGUUAAACAUUCCGCCUGGGGACUACGGUCGCAAGAUUAAAACUCAAAGGAAUUGACGGGGACCCGCACAAGCGGUGGAGCAUGUGGUUUAAUUCGAUGCAACGCGAAAAACCUUACCACUUCUUG
Molecule: ribosomal RNA, 852 nt
Filed under: Wolbachia sp. wStri
Lineage: Bacteria; Pseudomonadati; Pseudomonadota; Alphaproteobacteria; Rickettsiales; Anaplasmataceae
Also listed under: 1 other name
Description: bacterial SSU rRNA
Rfam family: Bacterial small subunit ribosomal RNA
Source: RNAcentral